Non-coding RNA from Peromyscus maniculatus bairdii (prairie deer mouse), 1265 nucleotides. NCBI's taxonomy places the organism in Eukaryota, Metazoa, Chordata, Mammalia, Rodentia, Cricetidae. The record is from RefSeq and is a predicted model, not a curated record.
AUAUGUACUUCAAUUGUCAGAGUGCUGCCUGAUAUUCAGAAGGUCCUGGAUCCGUCACUACGUAAGACAGACCAUGAGAGCUCCUGAAGAUUUAGAUCACUUCUUUUCUUGUUUGCUACCCCCAGCACAGAGGCGAUGGAGCCUUUGCCCUGGGGAGCCGAGAAGGUGGAUGUUAAAGAGAACCAACCGCUCAUGUCAGCAUCUGUCAUUUACCCCCUAUGUCACCUGGAACAAGUAACCCGGCUACUUUGCUUCAGUGCCCAAUAUGAGAUGGAAUCCUAAAGCAGUUGGAUUUUGUCUGCUGCACCUUUUAAAGAACGGCUUUGAGGUUUUCACUCCAACAUCUGACUCUCCAGUCUUUAUUGUGUCUGCUGCUUUGGAUCUCUCCAUAGACCCAGGACCUAAACCUUUCCUCCUACUGGGAAAGCUUGUACCUUCCUCCUCCUCUCCCAAAGAGCAAGAGUUAAGACGGGAGAGGCAGAAAAAUCCAACUGAAUAAAGCUUUCAAAAUGAAGAGGCAGGUCAAGUUCAACCCAGGAACACCUCUCCCAGUGCUUUCCCAACUAGUUAAGGUCAAAUUGCUGCAAGAGACAGUCAAAAUAUCAUGCCUACUCUAAGAUAGAACAUUUCUAUGAGGAAAAGAGCUUGACUGUGUUUCUACUGGAAGAAGGAUGUGGUCUGGAGCAUUCCUGGGGUGAAGCAAGAAAUGUGCUGCUUCAUACAGGAAGUCACAAACGACUCUUGGAACUACCUCUGGUCUUGUUUCCUUUGCACAACAAACAGUGGACCUGGUUAAGGAGGCUAGCAGGACAGUUUCCAGGGGACCUGGUUGUCCAGGAGGACAGUGGGACAAUUUCCAGUGGGCCUGGUUGUCCAGGAGGACAGAAGCACACAAUUUCUAGGGGACCUGGUUGUCCAGGAGGACAGUGGUACAAUUUCUAAUGGACCUGGUUGUCCAGGAGGACAACAGGACAAUUUCUAGUGGACCUGGUUGUCCAGGAGGACAGCGGAAUAAUUUCAGUUACUUGAGUGCUUUUGCAGGUUCCAUAGAAUGGAGUGGAGAGCAAGAGGAAAGCAGAAGGCAGCCUGAAGAAAGGAAGUUCCACAUGAGCUGGGGCUCCUUUCCAGAAAUGACAACACACAGUGACCUACUUAGAAAAUGAAAACAAACCAGAGGAAUUGGCCAAGGUCAGGUAUGGUGAUAUUUUAUUUGUGUUGAAAUGUGGUGAUAUUUUAUUUGUGCUUUAAUAAAGCUUGCCUGGAGA